AUUGAACGCUGGCGGCAGGCCUAACACAUGCAAGUCGAGCGGAUGAAGGGAGCUUGCUCCUGGAUUCAGCGGCGGACGGGUGAGUAAUGCCUAGGAAUCUGCCUGGUAGUGGGGGAUAACGUCCGGAAACGGGCGCUAAUACCGCAUACGUCCUGAGGGAGAAAGUGGGGGAUCUUCGGACCUCACGCUAUCAGAUGAGCCUAGGUCGGAUUAGCUAGUUGGUGGGGUAAAGGCCUACCAAGGCGACGAUCUGUAACUGGUCUGAGAGGAUGAUCAGUCACACUGGAACUGAGACACGGUCCAGACUCCUACGGGAGGCAGCAGUGGGGAAUAUUGGACAAUGGGCGAAAGCCUGAUCCAGCCAUGCCGCGUGUGUGAAGAAGGUCUUCGGAUUGUAAAGCACUUUAAGUUGGGAGGAGGGGCAGUAAGUUAAUACCUUGCUGUUUUGACGUUACCAACAGAAUAAGCACCGGCUAACUUCGUG
RNAcentral lists this ribosomal RNA (484 nucleotides) under uncultured bacterium. RNAcentral's name for it is "partial 16S ribosomal RNA". It matches the Rfam family "Bacterial small subunit ribosomal RNA", at positions 30 to 507 of the family's 1533-position model. The record is from RNAcentral.